AUAGAAUAUGGGAAUGAAGUUCUCCCAUGGUGAAAAACCGGAACUGCUUUCAAAAGAGCUGAUGACUUCUGCGGUUUU
This 78-nucleotide non-coding RNA is filed under the name Ruminococcaceae bacterium CPB6. RNAcentral's name for it is "Fluoride riboswitch aptamer (crcB RNA motif)". It matches the Rfam family "Fluoride riboswitch aptamer (crcB RNA motif)". RNAcentral also lists the same sequence under 1 other name. The record is from Rfam by way of RNAcentral. Lineage: Bacteria; Bacillati; Bacillota; Clostridia; Eubacteriales; Oscillospiraceae.